Molecule: ribosomal RNA, 212 nt
Filed under: uncultured bacterium
Lineage: Bacteria
Description: partial 16S ribosomal RNA
Rfam family: Bacterial small subunit ribosomal RNA
Source: RNAcentral
UACGUAGGGCGCAAGCGUUGUCCGGAAUUAUUGGGCGUAAGAGCUCGUAGGCGGUCUGUCGCGUCGGCUGUGAAAACCCGAGGCUCAACCUCGGGCCUGCAGUCGAUACGGGCAGACUAGAGUGCUGUAGGGGAGACUGGAAUUCCUGGUGUAGCGGUGAAAUGCGCAGAUAUCAGGAGGAACACCGAUGGCGAAGGCAGGUCUCUGGGCCG